This 354-nucleotide unclassified non-coding RNA is filed under the name soil metagenome. RNAcentral's name for it is "partial contains 5.8S ribosomal RNA, internal transcribed spacer 2, and large subunit ribosomal RNA". The stretch from base 1 to 120 matches the Rfam family "5.8S ribosomal RNA", at positions 35 to 154 of the family's 154-position model. The record is from RNAcentral.
GAUGAAGAACGCAGCGAAAUGCGAUAAGUAAUGUGAAUUGCAGAAUUCCGUGAAUCAUCGAAUCUUUGAACGCACAUUGCGCCCCCUGGCAUUCCGGGGGGCAUGCCUGUCCGAGCGUCAUUUCUGCCCUCCAGCCCGGCUGGGUGUUGGGCGCUGUCCCCCCGGGGACACGCCCCAAAGGCAGUGACGGCGCCGCGUCGGGUCCUCGAGCGUAUGGGGCUUUGUCACCCGCUCGGGACGGACUCGUCGGCGCUGGUCUUCCUCCAGGCGACCCUUCGGGGCUCGUCUUCCUUCGGUUGACCUCGGAUCAGGUAGGGUUACCCGCUGAACUUAAGCAUAUCAAUAAGCGGAGGA